AUUGGAAAUGGCUGUUUUGAGCUUAUCACUAAAAUUGUCCAGUCAAAGGGGAUAAGCAUUUACAUAGAAAAUCUGUAUGUCACCCGGACUUGGCUUGCACCCUAUGGCUGUGAUCCAUUGCAGUCCUUUCCUACUGAUGCUCAGAGGAUGCACAUCAUAGUUCUCCCUCUCUGGACACCUGGUCAUUUCCAGUU
Non-coding RNA from Maylandia zebra (zebra mbuna), 194 nucleotides. The record is from RefSeq and is a predicted model, not a curated record. NCBI's taxonomy places the organism in Eukaryota, Metazoa, Chordata, Actinopteri, Cichliformes, Cichlidae.